This is an RNA transcript of Oryza brachyantha (malo sina), 4079 nucleotides long. It is a transcript of the gene named disease resistance protein RPM1-like, with no coding region annotated. The record is from RefSeq and is a predicted model, not a curated record. The transcript is spliced from 7 exons. Lineage: Eukaryota; Viridiplantae; Streptophyta; Magnoliopsida; Poales; Poaceae.
GCGCGUGCGCUGCUCAUUGGCAUGGCCAUGUGAUGCGCCGUGCGCGGCAUGCUCAUUGUAGCCCAGUCGCCCAGUCGAGACUAGAGAGAGAGAGAGAGAGAGAGAGGCACCAUCGCCGGAAACCCUCCCUCCCUCCGCCGCGGCCUUCGCCAUGACGCCCAUUUAGCGGAGCUUAAUUUGCGGCAGAAAUUCAGUGCAAGAUGGAGGAUUGGAAGUUGGGGGUGGGGGAAGCAUCAGGUGGAGAUACAAGAUUAGAGAACUGAUAGAAAUCUGGUGGAGCGAAAUGUUCCGACCAACCGCGUAACAUCGCGUAUGGCGAGUCUGAACAAACUACAACUAUCAGUUUAGAAAGGAAAACAUCGAAAUAGCAUUAUGCAAGGCAAUUUAGAAAAUGGCAGAUUAUUCACAUCAGCAUGAUGAUGAAGAAAAUUUGAUCAAACGUGUAAACCUAAUGACAUAUACAGGAUCAGCUUGGCUAUACACACAUGUGGCGUCCUUCUGUGUUAUUCAUCAUUGUCGUUUUUCUCCAUCAAGUGGGUCGUUCCAAGAAUAAUAAGCGCAUUUCAACAAAUUGUCAGGAACACUGCAGAUAUGGAUAUUUGAUGUACGCACCUGUAUUCCACUGAAAUAUUGAAGUCAACUGCACUAAGGGAAAUGGCAGAAAUUGCUGUUCUGUUUGUCAUAAAAAAGAUAGGAAUAACUGUGGCAGGAGAUACACUAAAGUUAGCUAUACCCCUCUUUGCAAAAAAGGCUGAGUUAAAGAAAGUUGGGCUAGUAACAGCGCUUCCAGGUAACAUGAAGCAGAUAAAAAGCGAACUUGAAAUUACCAAUUCAUUUCUUAAGGAACUUGGCAUGAAUGGGUACAAAAGUGAAGUUGUAGAAACUUGGAUAAAGCAAGUACGGAGGUUGGCACAUGAUAUGGAAGAUGUUGUGGAUGAAUUUAUGUAUGUUGUGGGCAAAAACAAACACAAAGAGUCAUGGGCUUGUGUGAAAAAAGUUAUUAAGAAACAUAAACCUUUAUUUUCACUUGAUGAAAUCGCCACUAAAGCAGAUAUGAUAAACAGAGAGCUUGGGGAGCUUUCCAAAAGACUAGAUCGUUGGACCCGGCCAUUAUCUAGUGGGAGUUAUAUUCCUCUGACAAAUUAUACCAACGAGCAGCAGUUGUAUCUGCCUGGACAUGAUUAUUCAAUUAAUGAUAAUGAGCUUGUAGGGAUUGAUAAAAAUAGGCAAACCUUGAUUGAAUCAUUGCAUCUGGAAGAUUGUUCUCUUCGGAUCAUUGCUGUCUGGGGUAUGGGUGGCCUUGGAAAAAGUACUCUUGUCAAUAAUGUCUACAAAAAUGAAGCAAUAAUAUCCAAUUUUAAUUGCCAUGCAUGGCUUUGUAUCUCUCAAUCAUAUAAAAUACAUGAUGUUUGGCGAAACAUGCUAAAAGAACUUUGUGGAGAAGAGAACCGAGGGCUCGAUGCUGGAAAUAUGAACAAUACAGAACUAAGAGUGGAAAUGUCAAAAAUUCUGCAUCAAAAGCGUUACUUGAUCAUACUAGAUGAUGUAUGGUCGGUUGCAGAUUUUUUAAAGAUUCGUGAAUUUCUUGUUGAUAAUGGCCUAGGAAGCAGAGUAAUAAUCACAACAAGAAUUGAGGAAGUUGCUUCAAUAGCUGAGGAUGGUUGUAAGAUCAGUUUAGAGCCUCUAGAUAACCAUGAUGCAUGGCUUCUAUUCUGUAGAAAGGCAUUUCCGAAAAUUGAAAAUCAUGUAUGCCCUCCAGAAUUACGUCAGUGUGGUAUGAACAUAGUGGACAAAUGUGAUGGUUUGCCUUUAGCUCUUGUGGCAAUAGGGGGUUUACUGUCCCUCAAACCAAGGGAUAAAAACGAGUGGAGACUUUUCUACAAUCAACUUAUUUCAGAGGUACACAAUAAUGAAAACCUAAACCAGGUGGAAAAAAUUCUAAAUCUAAGCUACAAAAACUUGCCAAGCUAUUUGAAGAAUUGCUUCUUAUACUGUGCUAUGUUCCCUGAAGACUAUAUUAUCCAGAGGAAGAGAUUGAUUAGAUUGUGGAUAGCUGAAGGAUUUAUUGAACAGAAAGGAGCAUGCAGCUUAGAAGAAGUUGCUGAAGGUUACCUAAUAGAGCUUGUCCGACGAAGCAUGCUUCAAGUUGUAGCAAGGAACAGUUUUAAUAGGGUUCAGUGUCUUUGAAUGCAUGAUAUUUUGCGCGAACUAGCCAUUUUCCAAUCGAAGAAAGAAAGUUUCUCUACAGUUUAUGAUGACACUCAUGGGGUGGUACAAGUGGGAUUAUCAGACUCUCGCCAUGUCUCUGUGCUCCAAUGCAACACUGAAAUUCGAUCAACUGUAGAUCCAUCCAGGCUACAUACCUUCCUAGCUUUUGACACUAGCAUGACAUUAUCUUUAGCUUCUUCUUUGAUUUUCUCUGAAUCCAAGUACCUUGCUGUUUUAGAAUUACCUGGUUUGCCUAUUGAGAUCAUUCCAUAUUCAAUUGGGGAGCUAUUUAACCUUCGGUAUUUAUGCCUCAAUGACACCAAUGUGAAAGAAUUUCCAAAAUCUAUUACAAAGCUUCUCAACUUACAAACAUUGAGUCUUGAACGUACACGGUUGCUGAAUUUUCCGAGAGGGUUUUCAAAUCUGAGAAAAAUGCGUCAUUUACUUGUUUGGAAAUCAGUUGAUGCUACAUACAAAAGUCUCAAUAAUUGGGAAUCGUUGGAACCAUUUGAGGGCUUGUGGAACUUGAAGGAAUUGGAAUCUUUGUGUGAAGUUCGUGCAACUAAAGCCUUUGUUGCCAAACUAGGAAAUCUAUCCCAGCUGAGGAGCCUUUGCAUUACUUAUGUAAGGACCAGCCAUUGUGCACAACUUUGCAACUCUUUAUCAAAGAUGCAACAUCUCACAAGAUUACACAUAAGAGCAAUGAAUGAAGAUGAGGUCCUCCUGUUGGAAGAUUUAAUGUUGCCAAACCCUCUUGAAAAGUUCGAUUUGCUAGGCCAAUUGUCAAAAGGAACUUUAGAAUCUCCAUUUUUCAGUACUCAUGGAAACGAACUUCUGCAGCUGGAAUUAGCAAGGUGUCAGCUUGAACUGAAUCCAGUAGCACUGCUCUCCAAGUUAUCAAAUUUAACUGAAUUACGCCUUACAAGGGUGUACACUGGACAACAGCUAAACUUUCAUGCAAAUUGCUUCCCAAAUUUGAAGAAAGCACUGUUGUGGGAUUUGCAGCAAGUCAAUCAAAUAAGUAUACAGGAGGGAGCUUUGUCCAGCCUGCAGUAUCUUCACAUUGAUAACCUCAUGGAACUACGGGAUGUGCCCACUGGCAUUGAAUAUCUAAGUUCAGUCAAAGAGGCAUAUUUUACUAUGAUGCAUUCUGAAUUUGUGAGGAAUCUUCGAGCAGCAAAGGUAAAUCAUAUCCCGAAGGUGUACUGGUCAACAAAAGGGGUGUCUGGGGAACCUGCUAACCUGCCUGGAGAAUCCAGUACCACCCCACAAUGGCGUAUGUUAGGAGGGAUAGGUUGGGUUUUCAUCUAACCCAGUUUUGUGGGGGGUUGCCGGUUCACUGUGACAAAAACUUCAGAAUCUAUUCCCAUUUGAUGAAGUGCUGAUGCUUGGCUCACUGAAGGGGAGAUUGUGAACUGAUGUGAAAUGGUCUCAACUACUCCACAUCAUUUUACUGGAACAAUGACAAUUGUGAUUUCACCACUGUAAGCUUGACUUGAAGGGGAACAAAUUUCCUCUAUGGACAUCUUGACUUGGAGCAGCUCCCCUGUUGUCAGAACUCAGAAAUUUCUUUCUACGGCCACACUUCCUAGCGUUCACUGGAUUGGCGGCUGCUGCCUGACUAGAAUUUGAAGACCACACUAUCUCCAUGUCGAUUUAGAGGAGUACAAAGUAAUUUGUAUAUUCAGAAAAUUGUCGAUAUUGCUAUCCCGUGCUUUAGCAAUACGGAUUUACUACGUUCACGUGUUUGCACUUUGCACCACUGUAUUUGAGAGCGUCCAUUGUCCAGUUAUUACUGGUCGAGAAGAGAAGACACAUCGAUCAAUUGAUGCAUGUAAAUGUAAUAGUGUGUGAAAUAAACUACAACUACU